GAGAUGUAGACGGGGCACGUUAAGUAAAAAUUAAAAUUCUAUACUUGAUUUAUCAACUAAGCUUUAGCGUUAAUUAUAACAAUGUGCAGGCAUAUUGUGCAUUCGUUAUUUAUCGCUAUUUGAAUGGUGGCGCCGUAUUGCACAAUUUUUAAACAAAUUGUCACAUAUUCGCAUAAAAAUUGUAACCAGACGUUCAGUUGCCGCCGUAGUAUAUUUCAGUAUAUUUAACAGCGCUAAAUUGUAUAUUUAAAAAAUCAAGCUGCGGUCACGCUAAUUACGUGCCUUGUCAAAGUUUUGUAACCUGGAAAAAAAGGGGCAGACGUUCAAAUAAUUCGACCGACCGACCGGCUCAAUAAUUCCAUCAUUUACACAGUUUGCUUUUUAUAUAGUUUACCAUCAAGGGCAGCAUUAGCACACAUCAACAAUGGCCGGCUUCUCAGACUAUUCGAGAAAUGAGGAAACAGAGGUUAAUGGCUGGAUUCGGUUUGGAUUGCGUCUUGGUGUUAGUGCUGCACUGCAUCCUUUUGAGUACUCAAAGACUUUGAUACAGAUUGGUUACGAACCCAUCUCUGCAAGACCUGGCAAGUCGCUGCUUGGCAAACCUGUUAUGCUCUUGCCCAAUAUUUUUCAGUACGCUGGUCACAUUCGCAAAAUCGAUGGAUUCUAUGGUUGCUAUCGUGGCUUGGCACCCAAACUCGCUGGCUCUGUGCUUAGCCUGGUAGUUAGUGAACGCGUUGCUGAGAAACUGGGGCUCGCCUAUCAGGAUGACAAGGACGAAUCCGAGUUGACAGAAGAGGAGAGCUAUGUACAGUUCAAGUACAAUCUGAAGCGCGACAUUGUGUUGACCGUCAGUGGCAUUGUUGUCGCACAUCCGUUCCAUGUGAUUUCCCUACGCAUGAUGGCUCAGUUUAUCGGUCGCGAAACGCUGUACAACUCCAUACUGGGCUCAGUGGCCGAAAUCUGGAAUAACGAAGGCGUGCUUGGCUUCUUUGCCGGUCUAAUCCCCAAGCUGCUGUGCGAUGUCGCCGGUCUGGUGCUGUCUAGCUCCACGGUGUUCGUGAUCAACAAAUAUCUGAUCAAGGACAAGGUGGCCAGGCAAUACAAUGCGGGCUUUACGCAAUUCGCCUUCUCCAGCCUGCUGUAUCCACUGCAAGUGGUCUCGACAUGCUCGGCUGUGAGUGGCUCACGUCUGAUGGCCGGACAACCACCGAUUAUGCCCAAGUAUGCCAAUUGGGUUGACUGCUGGAAUGAUUUGCAGACGCGCAGGGAACUCAAGCGUGGCAGUUCGCUCUUCUGGCGUUCGCAAGCAGCUUACUCAUCAGCAGUACCCACAUCCUUUGCACCGUUGCCAGUGCUGUCCCGUUAUCAGUAGAUGGAUUAUGAUUAAGUGAUGACGCUGAUGCGACCACAAAAUAUGAAUCGUCGGAAUUAUAUCCACCACCGAUAAAAAAAAGAACUUCGGCGUCUGCCUGCAUUUUGAACACACACACACAUAUAUUUUUGCUCGAAGAGCGCCAUCCUAAGACAUCUCUGCAUUUGUUUUCUCUGGUCGCGAUUUAGCAUGCGUAUAGAACAAUUUUUAUGCAAGUGUAAAUCCAAAUGUUAAAAUGGUCCCCCAUAAUUUAUGAACAACAAUCGAACGAAAUAAUUACAUCACUGCACUAUAGAUUUGCAAAUUUAAAUUUAUAUAGACUAUGUCUUGUUUCUUGUUGAACAAAUUUGCUAAACUAGCUAAGCAAUCUGAGGCAAUCGGUGUACGUAAUGAGAAAGAAGCCUUUUAUUAAUUGAAAUUAUUGUCAGUACAUAUGCGUAUUGUAAAAGAAGAUUAUUUAGAUUGUAGCUGAAUAAAAAAUGUGCUUUCUUUA
This is an RNA transcript of Drosophila sulfurigaster albostrigata, 1865 nucleotides long. It is a transcript of the gene named mitochondrial carrier homolog 2, with no coding region annotated. The record is from RefSeq and is a predicted model, not a curated record. Lineage: Eukaryota; Metazoa; Arthropoda; Insecta; Diptera; Drosophilidae. The transcript is spliced from 5 exons.